GGGAACCCCGGGCGGCAGGUGCGCCCUUGCCGCCCGGGGCCGGGGGCCGGUCCAGAGGCUGGAGAGACCGGCCAGGUCUGCGGAGAAGCAUCUUCCGGCUGCUUGCACAGGGUUCAGUUGAUGAAGCAGGAGCGGGAGGGAAGCCCGGCGGGGACCGGGCAAGCUCUCGUCGAGCCGGGGCUUCUUCUGGCUCGUGCGCCUCGCCAGGCACGAGCAGGGUUAAGUGUGUGCGGGGGGCGGAGAGGGAAUCCCAGACCGCCGGAACUGGAGACUUCCCAGCCGAGGGCGAGGCUGCUUCGAGAGGCAGCGCCGGCCACCCUGCGGCUUCCGCCGGCACCUGGGCGCGCGGAGUCGGGAGGACACGUCGACAGCCGCCCGCAGGACACGCGGCAGACGCGCCACGGCCGCCGCCAGGGUCUGCUGUGUGCUGAGCUCCGUGAUGUCUCUGUGCCGGGAGAUGGGAUCACAUCCAGGCCACCUAAGCUGUGCCUGCCCAGUGUCACAAACUCGUCAGGACUCACACAACCCAGGAUGGCAGUGAGUCAGCCCGGAUUCCGCACGCUCACCCACCCAAGCCGCACUGCCACUUAUCAAAGCAUUUUUGGAAUAGUUUAAAGCAUCCAUACCUCCUUCCUUUGGAUGUUCUUGCUGGUGACAAACCUUUAUCUUGCAAGAGUGGAUUCAAAUUUCAGGACAAAUGAAAGUGGCUGGAACAGAGACUCACUGGUGUCCUGGUCCUCUGUAAGUGAGGUUGGAAGGCUGCCUGGCGGCUCAGCAAGGGAGGAUUAAGUGAAUUAAGACACGUCGUCAGCAGGUCUGCAGGGCCCCUGCAAAGCAGACACCCGGUGGACAGAGGUGCUCUGGGGUGGAUGGGGGUUUAUGAGGCAACGGGCACGGUGGGCUCCCUGGGGAGAAAGCCCAUGGUCGUUUCAGCCCAGGGCUCCUGGGGAUCUGGGAGGUGGUGGUGUUGAAGGAGGGCACCUCCCUCUGUGUUCCUUCUCUCAGCAAACCUUGAUGGAGGGAGGUUGCUCUUCUGUGCUGGGUGGGCUUGGGGUACAGAGUGAAGAAGAAACAUGAGAUCUGCUUGAGUGCAUCAGCGUUUAUUUAAUAAAUCCCUAAUUGAUGGGUUUAGAUAGUUUGGGUUUUUUCCUACUACAAACCACGUGGCAGUGAGCAUCUUUAUUUAUCCAUCCUUGUGUAAACAUCUUAUUAAUGCCUUAGGAUCUACUUAACAUUCAGACAGGAAUCCAAGUAAUUACUACAAAGCUUGCUGCCCCAGCUUCCAUUCUGCUGACCCAGGGGUCCCCCACGCCUCUGCUCUGGGGGUCAGGCCUGAUGACUGCUAGGCUGAUAUGGCUUCAAGGAGGUGCAGGUGGUCAGGACUCCCUGCCCCCAUGGGAGGUAGAAGUCAGCUGACUGGGGCAGGGGCCAUGGGCAUUCCUCACGGCAGGGCUCCUGGGCAGCGUCCCCAUUUCUCCCCCUCUUUCACCUCCCAAAGCCUCCUUAUCCCGUCCAUAUCUGCUAAGGAAUUUCCCCGGCACCUCUGCUUGCCAGCCACUCUGGGGUUCCAGCCCAUUCCGAUGGCAUCUGGCUAGAAGAAUUUGAGUCGGGUCUGGUUGUGACAGUGACGCCCCCAGAGAGUUCACCCCAGGUGGUGUGGAGCUGGGAAGCCACCCCGAAGCCACCCCAGGGCCUGCUGUUGACAGGAGCUCCCUGCACAGCGUGGCACCACCUUGCCAGGGCACAGGGUCAGGCUCCCUUGGUGCAGGUCUGCAUGUCCCUGGUAAUCAGGAUGCCCACAACCCACGCACCUACAGCCACAUGUGUUGUAGGGUUGCUGGGGUAAAUGAUGGAGCCCUCCCAUGAAGCUCAAAGGAGUUGAGGAUUGAAAACUUUGCCCUUGGCCUGGGGACAUGAGGAAAAAUGUGACCAGAGCUGCCAACACCCUUUUACACAAGUUCAGUGCUGGAGAGAAACAGUUCACACAGAUUAGAAGGUGGAACUGUUAAACACUGUUGAGAGUCAGAGAACAUAGGCCUAUAAUUGUCUUCACAUAUUUGAACUCAAAUUCAG
Molecule: long non-coding RNA, 2073 nt
Organism: Cervus hanglu yarkandensis (Yarkand deer)
Lineage: Eukaryota; Metazoa; Chordata; Mammalia; Artiodactyla; Cervidae
Source: Ensembl